GCAAGUCGAGGGGCAGCAAGUCAGUUUACUGAUGUUGGCGACCGGCGCACGGGUGCGUAACGCGUAUGCAACCUACCUAUUUCUGGGAGAUAGCCCGGGGAAACCCGGAUUAAUAUCCCAUAGUAUCACAUGAUGGCAUCUGAAAGUGAUUAAAGUUUCGAUGGAAAUAGAUGGGCAUGCGUAAGAUUAGCUUGUUGGUGAGGUAAUGGCUCACCAAGGCUACGAUCUAUAGCUGGUUUGAGAGGAUGAUC
This 251-nucleotide ribosomal RNA is filed under the name uncultured bacterium. RNAcentral describes it as "partial 16S ribosomal RNA". It matches the Rfam family "Bacterial small subunit ribosomal RNA", at positions 57 to 305 of the family's 1533-position model. The record is from RNAcentral.